GCAUUCUGUUGUUUCCAUAUGUAUACCAUUUGUUUGCAAGUCUGACAGUUACACUUCCCAAAGUUACUAAACAUCUUGGUAGUAGUCAAAUAUUUCUAUCAAACUCAUGUAUCUAAUUGUUGGAGGCUUUCCCUGGCAGGUUGCCAAGGGAUUGCAAAAUGUGAAUGUCUAAUGUGCUCAUGGUUCAUGGCUGAUCAUGUUACCAACAUUCCAUGGAAUGGAGGAUGAAGCAUUUUCUAAAAGAAAUACUGCUAACCUGGCAAAAAUAGCCUCUACUCAGUACAGUACUUUCAGGAUAAACACCAAGCCCUACAGUGUUAUUUACAAGGGUUUUCAUUAUCUAGUCUCUACCUACAUCUCCACCUUCAUCUCAUUCUUUUUUUUUUCUCAUAUUCUGAACUUCAGCCACAUUGGACUGCUUCCAGGCUCUAAAUCAAAUGCAAUAUCUCUUUCUUCUCUGCUUUUGCUUGGAAACACUCACCCUCCCAAUACUUUCUGAGGUUUGUUUCAAGUUUUAUUUCCUCAGGUACAACUCCUGUGAACAGCCUUCCUGCUUCUUAGUCUGUUGCAAAUGACCCCCCUUUGUGCUUCUAAAUGAUUCCAUGCCCUUUCACUCUUCAAAUGGAUGUUUAUUUUUCUAUGCUAGAUGCUAAGAUUUACCAUUCCUGCACAAUUUAUAUCCACCACAAAACUUAAUAAAUUAACUGAUCAUGAAUUGAGUAAAUAACCGGUGGUUAAUAAUAUUUAAUAUCAUAGAUUCUUAAUAUGUUAGUAAAUUAAUUAAUAUAAUAAGUUAUUUCAGACAAGGAUAGAAUGAGGCUUUAUUAGCACCACCUUCUUCUCACCAUUCCCUGCACACACACACACACACAUACACACACACACUCCUGCUGGCACUUCUGAACACAAAACAACCUAAUGCCACUUUAAACAAGUUUAUUGGAUAAUAGUUCCUGAACCUAUGAAAUUUGCUGAUUUCCAAAACUGAAAGAGAAGACAAAGAGUAUUCCACCCAACUUAGUGUACAUUAGAGUCUCUGUGAGCUUUUAUUUAUAAUCUUAUUGUAAUUUCUUUAUAAUUUGUAGAAAGACUUGAUUGCUGUUUUUGAAAAAGCAUUAUUCAGCAUUUAAUUUGGACAACAAGGUAUACCUCAAAGAGGAAAGAGGAAGGACCCUUAAAAAUCAUUGCGCAUAUAGACAAGGGUAAUUAUAACCUAAAACAUUUAUAGGAAGAGCUCUGAUUCAGGUAGCAUCAGAACAACUGUGUAAUAGCAGGGUCUACUUUCACAAGUUUUACUGGAAAGAUGCUUGAUAUUCAUCAUUAUCAUUAGAGUCCUAUAGCCUUUGUAUCAUCUCACAUCAUUUCUAAGUUAAAUUGGUCCAUGUAGACAAGAGAUAAAUUAGAUAAAGAGCCUACAUCAUUAUGCAAAGGAGGAAACAAAAUUCUGUAAAACUCUCAACAGAUAACUUAAAGGAUUCUGAUUUUAGAGUUCCCUGGUGGCUUAGCGGAUUAAGGAUAUGGCAUUGUCACUGCUGUGGCUCAGGUUUGAUCC
Molecule: long non-coding RNA, 1552 nt
Filed under: Sus scrofa (pig)
Lineage: Eukaryota; Metazoa; Chordata; Mammalia; Artiodactyla; Suidae
Description: lncRNA (ENSSSCG00025042560.1)
Source: RNAcentral